AUUCCAGCUCCAAUAGCGUAUAUUAGAGUUGUUGCAGUUAAAAAGCUCGUAGUUGAAUUUCUGUACAGUCCCGGUUCUGGCUUCGGUCAAGCCGUGGAUUGUGCAUCCGCUUGCAAAUCUAGCUCGGCCUUCACUGGUCGACUAGGGGAGUAAGCCCUUUACUUUGAAAAAAUUAGAGUGUUUCAGGCAGGCAAUGGCUCGAAUACAUUAGCAUGGAAUAAUGGAAUAGGACUUUUGUCCAUUUGGUUGGUUAUUGGACAUAAGUAAUGAUUAAAAGGGACAGUUGGGGGCAUUAGUAUUUAAUAGCUAGAGGUGGAAUUCUCUAAUUUGAUAAAGACUAACUUAUGCGAAAGCAUUUGCCAAGGAUGUUUUCAUCA
This 377-nucleotide ribosomal RNA is filed under the name Parauronema sp. RNAcentral's name for it is "partial small subunit ribosomal RNA". It matches the Rfam family "Eukaryotic small subunit ribosomal RNA", at positions 582 to 975 of the family's 1831-position model. The record is from RNAcentral. Lineage: Eukaryota; Ciliophora; Oligohymenophorea; Philasterida; Philasteridae.